GGAACUUGGGGGUAUUGAAGAGUUAUUUCAAGCUUAUGGAAUCAGGUACUAUACUGCGGCGAAGAUAGCUGAGUUAGGGUUCACUGUAAACACCCUUUUAGGCAUGAAAGAAGAAGAGUUAGACGAGAUGAUGAAUAGUGUAUCACAGAUAUUCAGGUGGGAACUCCUCGUCGGUGAAAGGUACGGUAUUAAAGCCGCUGUUAGAGCUGAAAGGAGACGGCUUGAAGAAGAGGAUUCACGGCGGCGACACUUGGUUUUAGGUGACACCACCACCACUACCACCGCCGCCAACGCUCUCGAUGCUCUCUCACAAGAAGGUUCGUUCGUUAUUUUAUAUAUAUAUAUAUAUAAGAAACCCCUUUGAUUACGUAAUUAAAAGAAUCUAGACAAGACUUCCCUUUGACAGUUUCAUUUUGCUGUUUUUCUUUCUUUGGUAAUAUACGUAUUUGAUGUUCAUUUUUAUUACAGAGACUAUUACACGUAAAUGUUUUGUAUGAAAGCUUUGAAACAAUCUCAUUUUCCAUGCAAUAAGCUCAUCGUCAAUAUAUAUAUAUAAGAGCACCGUUGCCAUCCCUAGGUGCAAUAAUAUUAUAUGUAUGUAUAUAGUUAGUUUUGCUGUAUUUGUUGGGGGGCGUUGAAAAGAGUGGUUGACAGGGUUAUCAGAGGAGCCAGUGCAGCAAGAGAAAGAGGCGGCGGGGAGCGGCGGAGGGGGAACGUGGGAGAUGGUAAUAGGUGGAGGAAGGAGGAAGCAGCAGCGGCGGAGGAAAGGGCAGAAAAAGGUGGUUGAAGUUGACAACGGGGAUGAAUUCGAGGGUGGUGAUGAUGAUGAUGAAAACGGUGAUGGUGGUGGCGGUGGCUACGAGCGGCAGCGGG
Molecule: long non-coding RNA, 873 nt
Filed under: Gossypium raimondii (Peruvian cotton)
Lineage: Eukaryota; Viridiplantae; Streptophyta; Magnoliopsida; Malvales; Malvaceae
Description: long non-coding RNA (GRAI_LNC000073)
Source: RNAcentral